Molecule: long non-coding RNA, 876 nt
Organism: Coccinella septempunctata (seven-spotted ladybird)
Lineage: Eukaryota; Metazoa; Arthropoda; Insecta; Coleoptera; Coccinellidae
Exons: 3
Source: RefSeq, a predicted model, not a curated record
UUGACAGACCGUGAAAAAAUUGAUGCAAAUUUUUAAGGUUUAUUCAAUUAUUAUUGAAAUUAAAGGAUAUAUCAUAGGAUAUAUUUACUACAUUUCUCUCUGUACGAUGGCACUUCGAAGCUCACAUCACAAUUGAAUUUUUUCCCAUAAUCGGAAAGUUAGGCACAUAUAAAUUCAUUAUAUCAAGAAAUGUAUGAAAUUCAUAAAUGUCAAAUAUCAUCUAUCGGAAAGUCUCAAUUUAAAUAAAAAAAGCUUCUUCAGGGGUGAGCUUCUAAGCAAUUGGUUCAGAAGAGUUUCUAUUUGAAGUAUAUGAUCCAUGAGUCAAGGUUACAGAAUGUACUUCAGAUUAAAUUACAUGCAAACUCACAGAAUGAGAAACAUCCUUGAUCUUGGUGUAUGAACAUAAGAAUUUCUAGAUAACAAACGGUUCUUGGGGGCAUAUAUAAAUUUAUCAGAUCAAGAAAUGUAUAAUAUCAUCUCUCGGACGGUGUUAUUUGGUAAAAAAAAAUGUUCUUCAGAGUAAGUUUCUUGAGCAGUUCGUUCAGGAGAGUUUUUAUGUGAAGCAAAUGAUCUAUUUCGAUUGUUUUCAACUGACCACAGCAGAUUUCUGACAACUUUCAAGCAAUUGGGUAGUGUACGGAGAUGAUUUUCUUAGGCUUGAUUUAUGGAAAAAUAUGUUUUGAGAUAAGUUAUUCAGUUGGAAUGAUAUAAUGAUUAUUGAAACACAAUCUAUGAGUGAGUUUUUGCGUUAAAAUUCUAUAUUUAUAGACAUUUGUCAAGUUCUACCAUUUAGGGUAAGAUUUUUGCUAUUAUCGUAGAGAGAGGGACCGUGUAGGUUUUUGUUCAAAAUAAACAGAAUUAAACGUUAUAAUGCUU